AAUGACUCUCGGCAACGGAUAUCUCGGCUCUCGCAUCGAUGAAGAACGCAGCAAAAUGCGAUACUUGGUGUGAAUUGCAGAAUCCCGUGAAUCAUCGAGUUUUUGAACGCAAGUUGCGCCCGAAGCCUUCCGGCCAAGGGCACGUCUGCCUGGGUGUCACGC
This 162-nucleotide ribosomal RNA is filed under the name Mallotus pierrei. Its description in RNAcentral is "5.8S ribosomal RNA". It matches the Rfam family "5.8S ribosomal RNA". From Rfam's summary of the family: 5.8S ribosomal RNA (5.8S rRNA) is a component of the large subunit of the eukaryotic ribosome. It is transcribed by RNA polymerase I as part of the 45S precursor that also contains 18S and 28S rRNA. Functionally, it is thought that 5.8S rRNA may be involved in ribosome translocation. The record is from RNAcentral. Lineage: Eukaryota; Viridiplantae; Streptophyta; Magnoliopsida; Malpighiales; Euphorbiaceae.